UGAGGUGAAAAGCUUAGCUAGGACCUGGUU
Molecule: non-coding RNA, 30 nt
Filed under: Homo sapiens (human)
Lineage: Eukaryota; Metazoa; Chordata; Mammalia; Primates; Hominidae
Source: RNAcentral